This 24-nucleotide non-coding RNA is filed under the name Arabidopsis thaliana (thale cress). Lineage: Eukaryota; Viridiplantae; Streptophyta; Magnoliopsida; Brassicales; Brassicaceae. The record is from RNAcentral.
UCCCUGGUCGGCAUCGUUUAUGGU